RNAcentral lists this ribosomal RNA (127 nucleotides) under Danio rerio (zebrafish). The record is from RNAcentral. Lineage: Eukaryota; Metazoa; Chordata; Actinopteri; Cypriniformes; Danionidae.
AUCUGCAUAUGUAGCAUAUUGUGUAUACAUGCAACUCUCACAUGGUCGCCUACUGAAGCCAAGUAGGGCUGCACCCGGUCAGUACCUGAAUGGGAGACCACAUGGGAAAAAUAGGUUCCUGCAGGAA